AACCAGUUUUAAGGCAAGUGUCCUUGAACAUACUUGCUCCUACAUUUAUUUUAUUUUUGAGUUAGUUUAGCUAGACCAUUAGUUGCAUGCAUAGUCUUAAUUUGAAUCAUAUGUUAUGGUUUACUAGCUUUUGUCACAUUAUCCAUGUAACCUGGUUGGAAUGGAUAAAAGUCAUGCUUAGCCUUGCUGUCAUGGUUAGGUUGGGAAUGUUAUAAAUUACUCCCUUCAUCCUAAAUUGUAAGUCAUUCCAAGAAUCAUAGAAAGUCAAAGCAUCUCAAGUUUGACCAAAUUUAUAUGGUAGGCUAAUAACAUUUAUGAUAUCAACUAAGUAUUAUUAGGUUCUUCAUUAAUUAUAUUUUCAUAGUAUAUCUAUUUGAUGCCACAAAACUUGUAACUUUUUCUAUAAUUUUGGUCAAACUUGAGAUGUUUUGACUCUCCAAGAUUCUUGGAAUGACUUACAAUUUGGGAUGGAGGGAGUAAUAUUGAUUAAUGAUCUAUGGAAUGUGUGAUAAUAAACUUUUUAGCAACAUGGCGACUAGAGAGUCUAAAUAGUAUGGACGGAUUGGUAUGAUGGUUAUUUGGUUUUGGUGUAUUAUGGGGUUUCUAUGGGUUGGUGCACGUACCAGCUUGGAUUCUAAGGACUGGUUCAUGGACAAGUAACCCAGCUUAACCACACAUCCAUGAGGUCAAUAUUGUAAGACCUGGCUAAUUAAUUAGUUUCUCCAAGUUAUGCUACAUCAGGUCUGUUUUAGUGGCUCAAGAGGGGACAUCUGUAGUGGUGUUGGUACCGACUAUUAGCGGUGAAACCUUAGAGAAGGUUUAAGACAGACUUGGAGAGGCUUUGUAAAGGCCUUAUAAUGUGACCCCAUUGAGCACCUAGGUAGUGUGAAGCGUGAUGGGGAAACAUAACUUGUGGUGAUUACGGGAAAAUUUAAGAAUCUAAGAAAAACUCUAAGAGCCUGGAGUAGAUCCCUCUCAAAUUUAAAGUCAACUAUCUCUAACGUGAAGCUGGUUCUAUCCUUGUUGCUUUACAUUGAAGAGUUCAGAGACUUGUCUAUUCCUUAAUGGAACUUUAAGAAAACCCUGGAGCAAAAGCUAUCAUCUCUCCUUCAUCAGCAACAUGUGUAUUGGAAGCAACAAGGUUCAAUUAAAUGGGUUACUCUUGGUGAUGCCAGUACCAAAUUUUUCCAUGCAAAUGCAACUAUUAAAUUCAGAAAUGACCUCAUUACCUUGUUAGAAGACUCUACAAGUCAGGUGGUAACUGACCAUGAAGCCAAGGCAUUUCUUAUCUAGAAUACUUUUAAAGAUAGAUUGGGUUUAUCUUCUUUUACUAUUAUAAAUUUUGAUUUACCAAGUCUUCUUCUAGCCACAUGAGAUCUAUCUUCACUUGUUUCCCCUUUUACUAAAGAAGAAAUUGAUUCAGUAGUCAGGAAGUUACCAUCUGACAAAGCCCCAGGACUAGAUGGCUUUAACACAGACUUUUACAAGAAAUGUUGGCCUCUCAUUUGCAUGGAUUUCUAUGUGUUAUGUCAAGCAACGUAAGGGUUUCAGACUAUAGGCCAGUAUCUCUACUUAAUACUUCUAUCAAGGUUAUCACUAAGGUCCUAGCCAACAGAUUACAGAAGAAAAUGCCCUCAAUCAUCCACAAAAACCAAUAUGGCUUCAUUAAAGCUAGAUCCAUUCAUGUCUGUUUAGCUUGGGCUCUAGAAUAUCUACACCUCUUUGAAAAGAAAUAAUUAUUUUAAAGCUUGACUUUGAAAAAGCUUUUGACAAAGUGGAGCAUGAGUUGAUGUUGCAAAUUAUGCAAAAUAAGGGCUUCCCUAAAAAAUGGAUAUCCUAGAUGAAGCAAAUUUUUACCUCAGGGACCUCAGCAGUUUUGUUAAACGGAGUACCUGGGAAAGUGUUUCACUGUAGAAGAGGAGUUAGACAAGGUGACCCAUUGUCCCCUCUCCUCUUUGUCUUGGCAACUGACUUUCUUCAAACUAUCCUCAAUGUAGCCAAGCAACAAGGUCUUUUAACUCUGCCUCUUGAUCUUCCAAAUGAUCAAGACUUCCCAAUUCUUCAAUAUGCUGAUGACACAUUAAUUUUCCUCCAAGGCAGCACCAAUCAACUCCUAUUCCUCAAAGGUAUUCUUAACAUGUUUGCUGAAUCAACUGGCCUAAAGGUUAAUUAUGAAAAAUCUACGUUGGUCCCAAUCAAUGUUGAUGAUAAUCACCUAAACAUUCUGGAAAACACCUUUGGCUGCACCGUUGGAUAUCUGCCUUUAACAUAUUUAGGAGUCCCAUUGAGUCUAUCAAAACCCAUAGUUGUAGAUUUUUGGCCUUCCAAAUGUGAGAGAGGGAUGGCCAGUAUAUCUUCUUUUCUGAGUGAAGCUGGACGUUUACAACUAAUUAAUGCUGUACUAACAGCCCUCCCAACCUUCUCAAUGUGCACUUUCCUUUUACCCAGAAUUGUAAUCAAGCAAAUUGACAAGUUCAGAAAACACUACUUAUGGAGGGGCUCCAAUCUUAAUCGUAAAAAGCCCCCUAAAGUAGCUUGGGAUUUGGUCUGUGACUCAAAGGAGAAUGGUGGCCUUGGUGUCAUAAAUUUACAAACCCAUAAUGAAAGUUUGCUUCUAAAGCAUUUCCAUAAGUUUUUUUUUUAACAAACUUGAUGUUCCAUGGGUGAAUCUGAUUUGGCAGCAGCAUUAUGGAAAUGGUUUCAAGCACAUUUAGCCUAGAAAAUGCUCCUUUUGGUGGAGAGACAUCCUCAAAUUGUUAGACUCCUACAAAGGAAUAACAUCUGCAAUGAUCACAGAUGGCUCCACUUGUUUCUUCUGGACAGACUUAUGGAAUGGUAACUUGUUUGGCCAUCAAUUUCCUGAGCUACUUUCCUUUUCUAAAGAUAAAUUUAUCACAGUGCAGAAUUUUAUGUCUCUUGAUGACCUGUCUGACCAUUUUCACCUUCCACUAUCCAACGAAGCUUUUGAUCAAUUUACACAGCUAGCCUCUUCUCUGGAUUCUGUCUACUUAUAGCAAGGAAAAGACAUUUGGUCAUAUAUUUGGGGAUCCUCUGAAUUCACUUCCAGCUUAACCUAUGCACAACUUUUGGGAACUAGGCAGGUUUUACGUGUUUAUUCUUGGCUUUGGAAAUCCUCCUGCCAACCUAGGAGGAAAGUCUUUUGCUGGCUACUUCUCAAGGAUAGACGAAUUACAAGGGAACUUCUGAAAAGGAAAACCAUGGUUUUGGAAAGCUAUAGUUGUGUGCUAUGUCACCAAAGUACUGAGGAAUCACUUCAACAUCUAUUUUUUCAUUGUCCUUUUGCUCGGUGUUGCUCGAAUCUAUUGGGAAUGGCUAAUUUAAUUCAAAAUGACACUCUAGCAAUCUUGUCCUUAUUCAGAGUCCAUUUACGAACACCAAUGUUCAUGGAAAUUGUUAUCUCCAUGCUUUGGGCCAUCUAGACGCAGAGAAAUGAUUGCAUCUUCAAAAAUCUACAACACUCCAUUCAGAACUGUAAGACUGUUCUCAAAAAAGAGUUGGCUUGAGUUAAGCUCAGAGCUAAAGAAGACUACAAGCUUUUGUUACAUUCAUGGCUGCAUAGAUUUGUAUAAUUAGUCAUAUUUUCUUUAUUUCCUUCUUUGUUUAUUGAUUAUUUGUACGAAGAUUUAUUUUCAAUAAAAAUCUAGUAGGGGGAAACCUCUCUUGUUUCAUCAAAAAAAAGUGUGCAACCUCUGUACAGUGUAAAACUAGUAUAUCAGUUGUGCUCAUGGUCAAGAGCAGCCUAGAUGGAUCUUUGGUUCAUGGUUGGGUGGUUCCCUUGGUAACAGAAUAAGUGUUUCAGUUAGGAGCUUGGACGAAUCCAAGUGUGGUGCUCGGAUGGGAUCCGAGGGUUGGUUCAAGGGGUUCUCUAAGGAGAAGACAAAUCUCACCUAGUUAAAUAGGUGCUUAAGGAUUUAAGGUAAUAUAAUAGGAUUGUCGCUUAGGUGCUGGUGUCAAAUCAAGUUAGCCUCUCCUUGCUUUAAGCCUCAUGUCAUAUUCUUCCUACAUUUGCAGAGUACAUUUUGAUAUACUCACCCUUCCUCUUUGUCCCCUACUACCCCAUCUAGAUGCAGGAGAUGAAGUGGAACACUAUGCUGAGGACGACGCCUUCAACCUUGAUGACGUGUACUAGGCUGGUGCUGCCCCUGGUCAAUCUUCCUGUGAAGAUGGAGCCUUUUUCACUAGAGUUUUAAUAAAGUUAUUGUAAAUUUCUUCCAGACCCACAAGUCAUUUUGUAAUGAAGUUUAACGUUUAAGUUUUGAACAUUGCAAUGAUACUAUUAUGACAUGUUCAUAUGUAUGAAUAAUUGAUCCUGGCAUACAUAUGAUGUGCA
RNAcentral lists this long non-coding RNA (4351 nucleotides) under Sorghum bicolor (sorghum). RNAcentral describes it as "long non-coding RNA (SBIC_LNC010654)". Lineage: Eukaryota; Viridiplantae; Streptophyta; Magnoliopsida; Poales; Poaceae. The record is from RNAcentral.